RNAcentral lists this ribosomal RNA (517 nucleotides) under Virgibacillus pantothenticus. RNAcentral describes it as "bacterial SSU rRNA". It matches the Rfam family "Bacterial small subunit ribosomal RNA", at positions 1 to 493 of the family's 1533-position model. The record is from RNAcentral. Lineage: Bacteria; Bacillati; Bacillota; Bacilli; Caryophanales; Bacillaceae.
UUUGGGAGAGAGAGAGUUUGAUCCUGGCUCAGGACGAACGCUGGGCGGCGUGCCUUAAUACAUGCAAGUCGAGCGCGGGAAAGCAAAGCAGAUCUCCUUCGGGGGGUGACGCUGUGGAACGAGCGGGCGGACGGGUGAGUAACACGUGGGCAACCUACCUGUAAGACUGGGAUAACUCCGGGAAACCGGGGCUAAUACCGGAUGAUACAUAUCGUCGCAUGACGAGAUGUUGAAAGGCGGCAUAUGCUGUCACUUACAGAUGGGCCGCGGCGCAUUAGCUAGUUGGUGAGAUAAAAGCUCACCAAGGCGACGAUGCGUAGCCGACCUGAGAGGGUGAUCGGCCACACUGGGAGUGAGACACGGCCCAGACUCCUAGGGGAGGCAGCAGUAGGGAAUCUUCCGCAAUGGACGAAAGUCUGACGGAGCAACGCCGCGUGAGUGAUGAAGGUUUUCGGAUCGUAAACUCUGUGUUAGGGAAGAACAAGUCCAUCGAUGGGUGGACCUUACGGUCCAUCCA